AAUCUUCAACCCACCUGUUUCUUAAUUGAACGUGUUUGUGGUGCUUGGAUCAUGGGCGCUUUGCCGGCCGAAAGGUCAGCUCGCCUGGAAUGCAUAAGCAACGUCGUCCUACGACAUCUGGCUUGACUUGGCGUGAUAGAUUAUUUCGCUGAGGACAACUUCGGUUGGCCGAUUCGUUUGGAAGAGGGCUCCCAAUGGAUUACCAUCUAUAA
RNAcentral lists this unclassified non-coding RNA (212 nucleotides) under uncultured Sporidiobolales. RNAcentral describes it as "sequence contains ITS2". The record is from RNAcentral. Lineage: Eukaryota; Fungi; Basidiomycota; Microbotryomycetes; Sporidiobolales.